RNAcentral lists this ribosomal RNA (440 nucleotides) under uncultured bacterium. RNAcentral describes it as "partial 16S ribosomal RNA". It matches the Rfam family "Bacterial small subunit ribosomal RNA", at positions 338 to 795 of the family's 1533-position model. The record is from RNAcentral.
CCUACGGGUGGCAGCAGUGGGGAAUAUUGCACAAUGGGGGAAACCCUGAUGCAGCGACGCCGCGUGAGUGAAGAAGUAAUUCGUUAUGUAAAGCCCUAUCAGCAGGGAAGAAAAAGACGGUACCUGACCAAGAAGCCCCGGCUAACUACGUGCCAGCAGCCGCGGUAAUACGUAGGGGGCAAGCGUUAUCCGGAUUUACUGGGUGUAAAGGGAGCGUAGACGGUGCUCCAAGUCUGGAGUGAAAGGCCGCGGCUAAACCGCGGGACUGCUUUGGAAACUGGGGGGCGAGAGUGCGGGAGGGGUAAGCGGAAUUCCUAGUGUAGCGGUGAAAUGCGUAGAUAUUAGGAGGAACACCGGUGGCGAAGGCGGCUUACUGGACCGUAACUGACGUUGAGGCUCGAAGGCGUGGGGAGCAAACAGGAUUAGAUACCCCAGUAGUC